RNAcentral lists this ribosomal RNA (253 nucleotides) under uncultured bacterium. Its description in RNAcentral is "partial 16S ribosomal RNA". It matches the Rfam family "Bacterial small subunit ribosomal RNA", at positions 524 to 776 of the family's 1533-position model. The record is from RNAcentral.
UACGUAGGUGGCAAGCGUUGUCCGGAAUUAUUGGGCGUAAAGAGCGUGUAGGCGGCCAGGUAGGUCUGCUGUGAAAACUCGAGGCUUAACCUCGAGAUGUCGGCGGAAACCAUCUGGCUAGAGUCCGGAAGAGGAGAAUGGAAUUCCCGGUGUAGCGGUGAAAUGCGCAGAUAUCGGGAAGAACACCCGUGGCGAAGGCGGUUCUCUGGGACGGUACUGACGCUGAGACGCGAAAGCGUGGGGAGCGAACAGG